UGGGGAAUCUUCCGCAAUGGACGCAAGUCUGACGGAGCAACGCCGCGUGAGUGAAGAAGGAUUUCGGUUCGUAAAACUCUGUUGUUAGAGAAGAACAGCGCAUAGAGUAACUGUUAUGCGUGUGACGGUAUCUAACCAGAAAGCCACGGCUAACUACGUGCCAGCAGCCGCGGUAAUACGUAGGUGGCAAGCGUUGUCCGGAUUUAUUGGGCGUAAAGCGAGCGCAGGCGGUCAAUUAGGUCUGAUGUGAAAGCCCCCGGCUCAACCGGGGGGGGUCAUUGGAAACUGGUUGACUUGAGUGCAGAAGGGGAGAGUGGAAUUCCAUGUGUAGCGGUGAAAUGCGUAGAUAUAUGGGGGAACACCAGUGGCGAAGGCGACUCUCUGGUCUGUAACUGACGCUGAGGCUCGAAAGCGUGGGUAGCAAACAGG
This 429-nucleotide ribosomal RNA is filed under the name Bacteroidota bacterium. RNAcentral's name for it is "Bacteroidetes bacterium partial 16S ribosomal RNA". It matches the Rfam family "Bacterial small subunit ribosomal RNA", at positions 355 to 776 of the family's 1533-position model. The record is from RNAcentral. Lineage: Bacteria; Pseudomonadati; Bacteroidota.